This 223-nucleotide ribosomal RNA is filed under the name uncultured bacterium. Its description in RNAcentral is "partial 16S ribosomal RNA". It matches the Rfam family "Bacterial small subunit ribosomal RNA", at positions 113 to 334 of the family's 1533-position model. The record is from RNAcentral.
CGACGUGAGGAACCUGCCUCAAAGAGGGGGACAACAGUUGGAAACGACUGCUGAUACCGCAUAAGCCCACAGCUCGGCAUCGAGCAGAGGGAAAAGGAGUGAUCCGCUUUGAGAUGGCCUCGCGUCCGAUUAGCUAGUUGGUGAGGUAAUGGCCCACCAAGGCGACGAUCGGUAGCCGGACUGAGAGGUUGAACGGCCACAUUGGGACUGAGACACGGCCCAG